RNAcentral lists this ribosomal RNA (229 nucleotides) under uncultured bacterium. Its description in RNAcentral is "partial 16S ribosomal RNA". It matches the Rfam family "Bacterial small subunit ribosomal RNA", at positions 15 to 240 of the family's 1533-position model. The record is from RNAcentral.
GAUCAUGGCUCAGGAUGAACGCUAGCGACAGGCUUAACACAUGCAAGUCGAGGGGCAGCACAGGUAGCAAUACCGGGUGGCGACCGGCGCACGGGUGAGUAACGCGUAUGCAACUUACCUAUCAGAGGGGGAUAACCCGGCGAAAGUCGGACUAAUACCGCAUGAAGCAGGGGCCCCGCAUGGGGAUAUUUGCUAAAGAUUCAUCGCUGAUAGAUAGGCAUGCGUUCUA